RNAcentral lists this small RNA (16 nucleotides) under Arabidopsis thaliana (thale cress). RNAcentral's name for it is "ATSL016920". The record is from RNAcentral. Lineage: Eukaryota; Viridiplantae; Streptophyta; Magnoliopsida; Brassicales; Brassicaceae.
UUUUUUUUCUCUUCAA